Molecule: long non-coding RNA, 1657 nt
Organism: Cucumis melo (muskmelon)
Lineage: Eukaryota; Viridiplantae; Streptophyta; Magnoliopsida; Cucurbitales; Cucurbitaceae
Exons: 8
Source: RefSeq, a predicted model, not a curated record
GCAAACCCUUGUUUCCUUGGUCUCCGUCGAUUUUGCCAUGUUGUAUUUCCAUUGAAUGUCACUUGUGUGGUGUGGUUGCGCCGUGUUUCCGCUGAACUUCAUCUUCGUUGGAAAACGAUAUCUCUCACAUCUCUUCUCCCAUCUCUGACUCCCAAAACCCCAUCUUCUAACAAACUUCCUUUUCUUUCCAGAUCCUCUGCUUCCCAGUUUCAUGGAGCUCAAAGUUCUCAUCACAUUCUCCUGUCAUCUCUUCCUUCAUCUUCUUCUUCCUUCAAAUUUACCAUCUCCUCUAAGGUGAAUGAGGGCUAAACCCCUCCUCCUUUCACUUUGAAAGAUCAGGAUGGAAGGAAUGUGAGUUUUUCUAAAUUUAAAGGGAGGCAUGUGGUUGUCUAUUUCUAUCAUGUUGAAACUUCUGGUUGCACAAGACAGACACAGGUAUUGUUUGUUUUUUGGUGUGGAUUCUUGAAGAUAAGAAUCGAGCAACUUCAAGUAUAGCAGCUAAUGUUGCUAUAAAGUUGGUCAGUGCUAUACCAAAUGCACUAUUAAAAACCUUUUAUUUUGGAUCUUUCUCAUGCUCUUUCAUGUUUGCUAACUUCUCAUCAAAUACAAAUAUCUGUAGCAUGUACUAUAACACUGAAUUUGAUUAUUUCAAAUGUACCAAGUAAAAGCGAGGAAGCAUUUUGGGAGAUCCUUAACAAGUCAGAAGUUGUUCUUCAUUUGAUUGGCAUUAUUAGAUACUUUUCUGGAGCUAUGAACCUAAUUGAAGAAAAGGAAGGGACCUUCAUCAUCUGGAGCUGCUAACAAUACUGGAACAGGGAAUACCAUUGGACCUAACUCCCAACCAUCAACUCCAUUAACUCACAGCCUGCUGAUGGAGCUGUUAUUGCCCCCAAUAUGUAGAAUGUUAAUAGCAUGCCAAAGAAUAUGUUGUUGUAUGUUGUUCUUUACGAAUGAUGGAACAGAGGGUCUUGCAUCGUCCACAAACCAGCUGGAAGACAUAGAACAUCUUGGAGAUAUUGCCUCCUUGGAUGACAAUGUGGAAUCUUUUCUCUCACAUGAUGAUGGAGAUAGAAGGGAUUUGUUUAGCACAUUAAAGCAGAUCCCUUUUGAGCAUGUUGCAGAAAAUUCAAAGGGAUUGAUAAUGGCAAGGAGUAUUAUCCUUACUCCAACAAGAAAAGAUCCCACAUUGAGUGCAUUAAGGAACUUUGCAGCAAUUAGAAGAAAAGAACUUGGGAAGAGAUAUCCUUGAUAUAAACAAACUUGUUGGUCCUUUUGGCACUAAGAUUGAUACAUGAAAAUCAUACUCACAAGUCGAGUUAAACGAGGUGCGGGUUGAGUUAGUUGAUUUUUUGGGUUUGUACAUAUGAUUACGACUUAUUUAUGAUUGUGAAGUAGGAAAUUUUUUGUUGUGGUUGUCAUUCUAAAACUUUAUGUAUAUAGAUAAUAUAGGUGAAUUUUUUGAAUUGUUCAUAUGGAGGGAUGUUGAUUAGAUUUAUUAUAGAUAGAUAUACUUUUGGGCUAAGUUAGUUAAUUAGAGGAUGUUGAGUUGAAUUCUUGGCAGUCUGAUGGAAGUAUUUAUAUUGGUCUUAUAAAUGAUCUGCAAUAUUCAUAUAUGUAAAGUUUUAGAAAUGAUAUGGUGCAAGGUUUUAUAUAUUUA